This 330-nucleotide long non-coding RNA is filed under the name Jatropha curcas. RNAcentral's name for it is "long non-coding RNA (JCUR_LNC002939)". Lineage: Eukaryota; Viridiplantae; Streptophyta; Magnoliopsida; Malpighiales; Euphorbiaceae. The record is from RNAcentral.
GCCCGUCUCAUGUGAUAAGAAUUUAUCAAACACAAGUCAAAAUAGUAACUCCAAAGCAUCCUCCAAAUCACUAAAACAAAAAAAAUCCAUUCAUAGUUGGAGAAAAUGAAGCUCAUUGGAAAUUAACAAAGUAAAUUGAGCAUCAAAUGGUAGAAUUCCUCAAAAGCAUACUUCCUUAGGCAACUACCAAAUCUCUUAACACUACAAGUAACUCUCAGACUCCAUAGGUUUCUCACAAAUGCCAAAUCAGAUUGAACUCCACUCAAGCACCCACCUACCAAGCAUAAUUCACAUACAUAGAAGACAUCUGAGACAAGGAAGGAGAGAGAG